Molecule: long non-coding RNA, 1071 nt
Organism: Tigriopus californicus
Lineage: Eukaryota; Metazoa; Arthropoda; Copepoda; Harpacticoida; Harpacticidae
Exons: 3
Source: RefSeq, a predicted model, not a curated record
UUCCACAAACUCCGGGACAAGCUUCAGGUGGGCGUGGUGGAACUUUUCCUUAAAGGCGAGACCCCUCUCACCAACGUGCUUUGGCAUAGCUGGUCCCAGCAAAGAGGCCUCAUUGCUGUGGGUGAUAAGGAAACUUCAAAAGCAAUCAUCCAACUGAUUGCCCAGAUGAGUAUCAAACAACACAAAUUUCGUGCCUGGAAACGGGGCGAAUUUGGAGAGGGUAGGCUUGUGACAGUGUUCUUUGCUGGCAAUAGCUUGCAAUUGUGGGGUGGAGACAAGCUUUUGAAGCUUCUUAAAUCUCAAAGCAAACUACUCGGCAAUCACGUUGGAGUCAAAACCACCGACACAGAUAAAGGGCCAAAAAUGAUCUUCUUUGCAGACCCCGUCUUAUGGAAAGAUCUCAAAGGCAGAGCGACAUCGCUGGCUCAACACAAAGUCGUCCUAGGGUUAGGACUCGCCCAGUACGUGUUCCACCUGAGCCGGAAAUCGAAUGUGAACGCUCCUCGGGAGGACACUCCUUGCUUGAGAAGGGGAGGAGACGAAACCCGUGACAGGGAAAGCAUCUGGAGGCGACGACCGAUGUGAGGAGGUCACCGCAAGAAAGGCCCCUGUUCUGGCGGUAGAGGUGGCAGACGAGACGGAAGCGGACCACGCUGCUUUCGAAAAAGUGGACAGACUGUUUUCCCAAAAACUAUUUUAUCCCGCUCAACUAUAAGUGGAGGCACCAAUUCAACGUCUACAUUGGUAAAAUCAGUCGACAUCUCAACUACUGGGAUCCUUCCCUGCCAAGACCAAGUCCAAACAUUGUCUAGCCUUUUUGCUGACUUUUCCAAAGCCUCCAUCAUGACGGCAGAGGAACUAUCAAUGAGAAGCAAAAUCAAGAGACCAAGAAAAAGAAGGAGAAAAACUAAAAGGCUAUGCAAUCUUGUCCUGCGAUACAGGACAACGAAGCAGAAUAGGAAUGAACUACUUCACAUCAAACUAAACAUACAAAUUUAAGAUGAAGAAAGUAAACAAGAAAUAAGGGACAGAGAAAAGCAAGGAAUCAAGAACAUAUGUAAGCUAGGAAAA